This 459-nucleotide ribosomal RNA is filed under the name uncultured bacterium. RNAcentral describes it as "partial 16S ribosomal RNA". It matches the Rfam family "Bacterial small subunit ribosomal RNA", at positions 338 to 794 of the family's 1533-position model. The record is from RNAcentral.
CCUACGGGUGGCAGCAGUGAGGAAUAUUGGUCAAUGGGCGCGAGCCUGAACCAGCCAAGCCGCGUGAGGGAAGACGGUCCUAUGGAUUGUAAACUUCUUUUGUCGGGGAGCAAAAGACGCCACGCGUGGCGUUCCGAGAGUACCCGAAGAAAAAGCAUCGGCUAACUCCGUGCCAGCAGCCGCGGUAAUACGGAGGAUGCGAGCGUUAUCCGGAUUUAUUGGGUUUAAAGGGUGCGUAGGCGGAAGAUCAAGUCAGCGGUAAAAUGGAGGGGCUAAACCGCGUCGAGCCGUUGAAACUGGUUUUCUUGAGUGAGUGAGAGGUAUGCGGAAUGCGUAGGGUAGCGGUGAAAUGCAUAGAUAUCGCGCGGGACUCCGAUUGCGAAGGCGGCAUAGCGGCGGUGAGCUGACGCUGGUGCACGAAAGUGUGGGUAUCGAACAGGAUUAGAUACGCGGGGGGGG